RNAcentral lists this ribosomal RNA (251 nucleotides) under uncultured bacterium. RNAcentral describes it as "partial 16S ribosomal RNA". It matches the Rfam family "Bacterial small subunit ribosomal RNA", at positions 524 to 776 of the family's 1533-position model. The record is from RNAcentral.
AACGGGUGGGACGAGCGUUAUUCAUAGUGAUUGGGCGUAAAGUGUACGUAGACGGUCUCAAUGAGCAAAGAGUGUUCCAUGGCACAACUGUGGUGAUUUUUUAGCGAGUAAAAGGGACUUGAGUUCAGCAGAGGUUAGCAGUAUUUUUAAGGUAGAAGUGACAAGCGUAGAACUUAAGGAGACUUUCAUUGCGGAGGCGGCUAACUAGGUUGAUCUGACGUUGAGGUACGGAGGUAUGAGGAUCAAAUGGG